Molecule: ribosomal RNA, 1241 nt
Filed under: metagenome
Description: bacterial LSU rRNA
Rfam family: Bacterial large subunit ribosomal RNA
Source: RNAcentral
UGAGUACGAGAUGCUACGGCAUCGAAGCAGUCUAUGUCAUACUUCCAAGAAAAGCUUGCAAUGUCAUAAACAAAUAAUGCCUGUACCAUAACCGACACAGGUGGGUAGGUAGAGUAUACUAAGGGGCGCGAGAUAACUCUCUCUAAGGAACUCGGCAAAAUGACUCCGUAACUUCGGGAGAAGGAGUGCCUUAUUUUUAUAAGGUUGCAAUAACAAGAUCCAAGCAACUGUUUACCAAAAACACAGGUCUCCGCUAAGUCGUAAGACGAUGUAUGGGGGCUGACGCCUGCCCAGUGCCAGAAGGUUAAAGAAGUUGGUUAGCAUUAGCGAAGCUGAUAACUGAAGCCCUGGUGAACGGCGGCCGUAACGAUAACGGUCCUAAGGUAGCGAAAUUCCUUGUCGGGUAAGUUCCGACCCGCACGAAAGGCGUAAUGAUUUGGAUACUGUCUCGGAGAGGGGCUCGGUGAAAUAGACUUGUCUGUGAAGAUGCGGACUACCUGCACCUGGACAGAAAGACCCUAUGAAGCUUUACUGUAACUUGAGAUUGAAAUUGGACUUUAUCUGCGCAGUAUAGGUGGGAGACGUUGAAAAUAUUCUUGCGGGAAUAUUGGAGUCAUCAGUGAGAUACCACUCUUAUAAUGUUAGAUUUCUAACUUUGUAUCAUUAUCUGGUCAAAGAACAGUUUCAGGCGGGCAGUUUGACUGGGGCGGUCGCCUCCCAAACGGUAACGGAGGCGCACAAAGGUUCCCUCUGAACGUGUAGAAAUCGUAUCUAGAGUGUAAAGGCAUAAGGAAGCUUGACUGUGAGACCUACAAGUCGAGCAGGGACGAAAGUCGGUCUUAGUGAUCUGACGGUGCUGAGUGGAAAGGCCGUCACUCAACGGAUAAAAGUUACUCUAGGAUAACAGGCUGAUCUCCCCCAAGAGUUCACAUCGACGGGGAGGUUUGGCACCUCGAUGUCGGCUCAUCGCAUCCUGGGGCGGUAGUACGUCCCAAGGGUUGGGCUGUUCGCCCAUGAAAGCGGUACGCGAGCUGGGUUCAGAACGUCGUGAGACAGUUCGGUCCAUAUCCGGUGUAGGCGUUAGAAUAUUGAGAGGAGCCUUCUUUAGUACGAGAGGACCGAGAAGGACAUACCUCUGGUGUACCAGUUAUCGUGCCAACGGUAAACGCUGGGUUGCCAUGUAUGGAGAGGAUAACCGCUGAAAGCAUCUAAGUGGGAAGCCCACCUCAAGAUAAGUAUUC